CCUGGGGGUCCGGCAUCACCACGAGCACCCUUUGGUCCAUCUUUGCCAGCAGGGCCAGAAGGGCCAACAGGGCCGGGGUUACCCUGUGACGGAAAGAGAGAGAAUUUCAGUGGGUCUAGUACCCACCACAGGUCCAGGAGCUCCUGAUGGUCCCUGAGGUCCAGGGGAACCUCCUUCUCCCUUCUGUCCAGUCUCACCAAGCUCUCCCUUGGCACCUGGCUGACCAUCUGCACCCUGGACAUUUUAAACAACGCAGUAAUAUUGGCAGAAUGUCGACAAAUGUACAAGUUGCAGACAACCUUGGAGGAUUGGAUCACAGACAAGCCAACCAAUCCGCAACUUUCCUGCUGCUAUGUGUUCCAGGAAGUCCACGAGGUCCCUGGAGACCCUGAGGUCCAGCACCACCUCUCUCACCAGGGAAACCACGUUCACCCUGUUAGGAGACGAAGACACAUAAUCAAUAGGAGAAACGGGAA
Long non-coding RNA from Micropterus dolomieu (smallmouth bass), 476 nucleotides. RefSeq lists it as uncharacterized. The record is from RefSeq and is a predicted model, not a curated record. The transcript is spliced from 4 exons. Lineage: Eukaryota; Metazoa; Chordata; Actinopteri; Centrarchiformes; Centrarchidae.